This 1579-nucleotide small RNA is filed under the name Pongo abelii (Sumatran orangutan). RNAcentral describes it as "processed transcript". The record is from RNAcentral. Lineage: Eukaryota; Metazoa; Chordata; Mammalia; Primates; Hominidae.
GAAACAAAAGGAGAUAUCAAGAGGAUGGAUUCGACUUAGACUUGACCUGUAUCCAUUUCUACGGCUGCUCCUCUUUACCUUUCUGUCACUCUCUUAGAACGUGGGAGUAGACGGAUGCGAAAAUGUCCGUAGUUUGCGUGACUAUAACAUUUAACCCUGGUCAGGUUGCUAGAUCAUAUAUUUUGUGUUUUCUUUCUGUGUAUUCGACCUAGGGUGUGUUUGGCUAGACGGAACUCUUGCCUCGUUGCAAGUGUCAAGCCACCGAUUGCUUUCUUAGGCUAUCUAUAUGGUCUCUUCCUGAGGGCUAUUGUCCGUUAAUACAGAAUACAGUACACUGUUAGUGGAUUAGCGAGCUCGGUAAUCCGGUCUCCUAAAUGAACAAAAAAGUAGACGCUUUUUCAGGUUGAGCAUAUUUCGAUUAAAUCUUGGCUUAGGCCCUAGAUGAAGGGUUUAGAUCAGAAUAAAAUGAAAAUUAGUGUUGCACGUACGCAUAUUGCAUCAGAAUCUUGCAGUGAUUGUUUUAGUUUCCUGAGUUGCAUUGAUAGAUUUUUUUAAAAUAUGACUUAUUUGCAUAACUUUAGAAGCAGAAUCAUUUUCAGUAUAUAUGGUGCACAUUGAGGGCAAAAAGUAGUUUUGUUAAUGUUUAAACUUAAGUUACUUACAACUUUGAACUGUAUUUAGAAGUUUUGUAGUUUGAAAUCAGUAGUGCCAUAAUAUACCUUAUAAGGCGUUCUUACUAGAUCUUUGUUAUAUUUACCUUUUUCUCUCCCUAUGGGGUGAUGUAGGAUAGUGCUUGAAAUUUGCACUUCAGUAGCGUUUAAUGUUCAGUGCUCUUGUCAUAAACAUAGAAUGGAUAUUGAGUAGUUUUUGAUCCCAGAUGAUAAUGUGUAGGUUCAAGGGUAUUGUGUGUAGCAAGUGAAGAUUGCAGAGAGAAAACUUCAGUUCAUGCUUGAAAUUUAAGUAUUGUUCUGAUGCCAGAAUUGCUGCUCACCGUUUUUAGGUUUCAGGUCCUCUGAUACCUUUUGGUAUCGUUAAUUUUACUGGUUUGUGUAGAAUGUCAGGUGUAUUUUACCAGCUAAUGUCUAGAAAUGCUGGCAAGAGGGGUUUACUCCAGCUUUAGAUUGUGGGUAUGUUAGCUUUUCUCAUACAGUGUAUUAAAUUUACUGAGUCAGCUUGCUGAAUAAGACAGAAGCCCAAGAAAUUUAACAGUGUGUAGCUUUAGUUGUCUAAAAGUUAGGCCUUCGAGCUUCAAAAGUUAGUGGUCAUCGAAAAGCAUUAAUCUUUGCAGUUUAAGGUACAACACACUGGUUUUGAUUAGGGAUGGGGAUGGGGCCCUCUUUUUGCAGAAUGGAAAGUAUUGACAGGAAUUGAGAGCUAUUGGUAGGCCAGUGUAUAAGGUAUGUGAAAACAGAAUUAAGUUAUUGGUCUGAAGUGACUGAAGCAUUUAGGCUCUAUCAAGGCCUAAAAUUUGGUAAUAUGAGUUUGGUAAUGUGAAUUGUGGCAGUGGACAAUAUUUAGUUAAAAUUAUGUAAUUGCAUAAGUACUAGCACAGUAUUUUUAAUAAAAAUUAUAUCUUAGC